GGGGAUGUAGCUCAGAGAAAGAGCAAUUGGCAGGCAUCCAGGAAGCCCUGGGUUCCAUUCCCGGCAAUGCCA
This 72-nucleotide transfer RNA is filed under the name Cavia porcellus (domestic guinea pig). It matches the Rfam family "tRNA". From Rfam's summary of the family: Transfer RNA (tRNA) molecules are approximately 80 nucleotides in length. Their secondary structure includes four short double-helical elements and three loops (D, anti-codon, and T loops). Lineage: Eukaryota; Metazoa; Chordata; Mammalia; Rodentia; Caviidae. The record is from Rfam by way of RNAcentral.